CUUCCAACCCCUUCCGCUGGAACUGGUUGUUCUAGGCCAACCAUCGAACCUGGCCUUGAACACUUCGAGGGAUGGGGCAUCCACAGCUUCUCUGGGCAUCCUGUGACAGUGCUUCACCACCCUCACAGUUCCCUUAAGGUACUGGAAAGCCAGAGUUAGGUCACCCUGAAGCUUGUCUUCUGGCUGAACAAUCCCCAAAAUUCUCUCAGCCUUUCCUCACAGCAGAGCUGCUCCACCCUUCUGAUCACCUUGGUGGCCUCCUCCGGACUCACCCCUGCAGCUCCAUGUCCUUCCUGCGCUGGGCUCCCAGUGCAGGAGGCACCUUUCAGGUGGGGUCUCACCUGAGUGGGGCACAAUCCCUCCCUUUCCCUGCAGCCCAAGGACACGUCUGGCUUUCUGGGCUGCAUGCACUGAUUGCCAGCUCAUGUCCAGCCUGUCAUCCAGUGUUCUGUUCUGUAAGAUGUACAGCCUGAGGCUUGUGCCAGCAUUUUUUAAAGAGAUACAUGGCCUCAAAUUUAGCUUGUUACUGAAUUUCCUACUCCAUGACUGUAAUAAUUAAGUGGCGAUAAAAGUACAGAUGUUGUGUGUUAUAAAUGAGAAGCUUGACUAGGCCAAUAUUCAAGCAGCAAUCAAUUUAUUAAGAUGGUAAAGUAUGAGCAAUACAAUGCUGGGUACAGUGGGGGAAAUUUUCCCUCCAACUGCACGCCCAUAGUUGGGGCUUACAGAUAUUUAUAGGGGUGCUCAUAAGCUUUCUCAGCAGUUUCCAUUCCCAAUUUUUACAUCACAAUUCUAUACACUAUUGUGAUUUAGUUUUUCUCAAGUUGUAUCCCAGAAAGGAGUAUCUCCACAAUGUGGGGUCCAGCUUCCGAAAGAAGAGAGAAGUCUUCCAGCUGGUGAGGUCCAGAUUCCAGGUGCGGGUUCACCUUUGAAUUGCAAGGACUAUAAAUCUCAUAACAGUGAUGUCCAGCUUUCCUUGGUCGAAACUAUCAAUCCUUGAGUUUAUGUUCAUCUUCCUUUCUCAAGCUGCUUUUCAAUAUUUUGUCAAGGCGUCGAGAUAAGCGUGUUUCUUUUUUAUAUAUUCUAAAGCUAUGGUUUCAAAGAUCCUUACUACAAGUACUAUUCUAAAAUUAUACUUCAAAAGGUUA
Passer domesticus (house sparrow) is the source of this 1145-nucleotide long non-coding RNA. RefSeq lists it as uncharacterized. The transcript has 2 exons. The record is from RefSeq and is a predicted model, not a curated record. NCBI's taxonomy places the organism in Eukaryota, Metazoa, Chordata, Aves, Passeriformes, Passeridae.